ACAAGUAGCACGAGUGCAGUGCCGAGUGAUUCAGGCUCUUCUAGUGCAGUUGGAGACAAGGGAAAGAAGAAGAAGAAGAGAUGCAUUAGUUGUGUUUUAAAAUCUUGAUGACAUACCUCCUCUAGCGAAGACAUGUGUCAAGACACCUCCAAAGAUGAAGAGGAAACGUGGAGAUGAGAUCCUUUGGAGAGGAGCAGUGAGGCAAAGACGAUCAAUUUUGAUGAUCCAUCAAUAGUUUAGGAUGUUAUAGAUCAUUUUGAGAUACUCACACGUCUAGUUGGCAUGUAUAUUUUGUAUA
Molecule: long non-coding RNA, 298 nt
Organism: Cryptomeria japonica (Japanese cedar)
Lineage: Eukaryota; Viridiplantae; Streptophyta; Pinopsida; Cupressales; Cupressaceae
Exons: 4
Source: RefSeq, a predicted model, not a curated record